RNAcentral lists this ribosomal RNA (29 nucleotides) under Penicillium olsonii. RNAcentral describes it as "partial 18S ribosomal RNA". Lineage: Eukaryota; Fungi; Ascomycota; Eurotiomycetes; Eurotiales; Aspergillaceae. The record is from RNAcentral.
AGCGGGUAUCCCUACCUGAUCCGAGGUCA